CUGGCUCAAGCAGUCAAUAAUAUCAAGACCAUAAACAUGGGACAUAUCAUGUGGAUAUUUCAUAGCAUCAUAGACAUUAAAUUUAAUAACUUCCCCUUCAAACUCCAUAGUUAAUGUGCCAUCAUGCACAUCAAUCUUAGUCUUAGCAGUACUCAAGAAAGGACGUCCAAGAAGAAUGUCAGAAGUAGUGUUACAACUGUCUUCCUUAGUAUCAAUCACAUAAAAGUCUGCAGGAAAGACAAGUUCAUCUACUUGCACUAGAACAUCUUCUAGCACUCCUAUGGGAUGUACCACAG
RNAcentral lists this long non-coding RNA (296 nucleotides) under Manihot esculenta (cassava). Its description in RNAcentral is "long non-coding RNA (MESC_LNC003865)". The record is from RNAcentral. Lineage: Eukaryota; Viridiplantae; Streptophyta; Magnoliopsida; Malpighiales; Euphorbiaceae.